AUUGAACGCUGGCGGCAUGCCUUACACAUGCAAGUCGAACGGUAACAGGCCGCCAGGUGCUGACGAGUGGCGAACGGGGGAGUAAUGCAUCGGAACGUGCCCAGUCGUGGGGGAUAACUACUCGAAAGAGUAGCUAAUACCGCAUACGAUCUAUGGAUGAAAGCGGGGGACCGUAAGGCCUCGCGCGAUUGGAGCGGCCGAUGUCAGAUUAGGUAGUUGGUGGGGUAAAGGCUCACCAAGCCAACGAUCUGUAGCUGGUCUGAGAGGACGACCAGCCACACUGGGACUGAGACACGGCCCAGACUCCUACGGGAGGCAGCAGUGGGGAAUUUUGGACAAUGGGCGCAAGCCUGAUCCAGCAAUGCCGCGUGCAGGAAGAAGGCCUUCGGGUUGUAGACUGCUUUUGUACGGAACGAAACGGCUCUGGUUAAUACCCGGGGCUAAUGACGGUACCGUAAGAAUAAGCACCGGCUAACUACGUG
This 482-nucleotide ribosomal RNA is filed under the name uncultured bacterium. RNAcentral's name for it is "partial 16S ribosomal RNA". It matches the Rfam family "Bacterial small subunit ribosomal RNA", at positions 30 to 507 of the family's 1533-position model. The record is from RNAcentral.